This 393-nucleotide ribosomal RNA is filed under the name uncultured soil bacterium. RNAcentral describes it as "bacterial SSU rRNA". It matches the Rfam family "Bacterial small subunit ribosomal RNA", at positions 26 to 429 of the family's 1533-position model. The record is from RNAcentral.
AGAUUGAACGCUGGCGGCAUGCCUAACACAUGCAAGUCGAACGGGAGUAGCAAUACUCUAGUGGCGGACGGGUGAGGAAUACGUAGGAAUUUGCCCUUAAGUGGGGGAUAACCCGGGGAAACCCGGAUUAAUACCGCAUGACCUCGAAAGAGCAAAGUGGGGGAUCGCAAGACCUCACGCUUUUGGAGAAGCCUACGUCGGAUUAGCUAGUUGGUGAGGUAAUGGCUCACCAAGGCGACGAUCCGUAACUGGUCUGAGAGGAUGAUCAGUCACACCGGAACUGAGACACGGUCCGGACUCCUACGGGAGGCAGCAGUGGGGAAUAUUGGACAAUGGGCGCAAGCCUGAUCCAGCAAUGCCGCGUGUGUGAAGAAGGACCUUCGGGUUCGUAAA